UGAAUACGAGAUGCUACGGCAUUGAAGCAGUGUAUGUCAGACUUCCAAGAAAAGCUCGCAAUGUCAUAAACAAUAAAUGCCUGUACCAUAACCGACACAGGUGGGUAGGUAGAGUAUACUAAGGGGCGCGAGAUAACUCUCUCUAAGGAACUCGGCAAAAUGACUCCGUAACUUCGGGAGAAGGAGUGCCUUAUUUUAUAAGGUUGCAAUAACAAGAUCCAAGCAACUGUUUACCAAAAACACAGGUCUCCGCUAAGUCGAAAGACGAUGUAUGGGGGCUGACGCCUGCCCAGUGCCAGAAGGUUAAAGAAGUUGGUUAGCUUCGGCGAAGCUGACGACUGAAGCCCUGGUGAACGGCGGCCGUAACAAUAACGGUCCUAAGGUAGCGAAAUUCCUUGUCGGGUAGGUUCCGACCCGCACGAAAGGCGUAAUGAUUUGGAUACUGUCUCGGAGAGGGGCUCGGUGAAAUAGACUUGUCUGUGAAGAUGCGGACUACCUGCACCUGGACAGAAAGACCCUAUGAAGCUUUACUGUAACUUGAGAUUGAAAUUGGACUUUAUUUGCGCAGUAUAGGUGGGAGACGUUGAGAAUAUUCUUGCGGGAAUAUUGGAGUCAUCAGUGAGAUACCACUCUUGUAAUGUUAGAUUUCUAACUUUGUAUCAUUAUCUGGUCAAAGGACAGUUUCAGGCGGGCAGUUUGACUGGGGCGGUCGCCUCCUAAACGGUAACGGAGGCGCACAAAGGUUUCCUCUGAACGUGUAGAAAUCGUAUCUAGAGUGUAAAGGCAUAAGGAAGCUUGACUGUGAGACCUACAAGUCGAGCAGGGACGAAAGUCGGUCUUAGUGAUCUGACGGUGCUGAGUGGAAAGGCCGUCACUCAACGGAUAAAAGUUACUCUAGGAUAACAGGCUGAUCUCCCCCAAGAGUUCACAUCGACGGGGAGGUUUGGCACCUUGAUGUCGGCUCAUCGCAUCCUGGGGCGGUAGUACGUCCCAAGGGUUGGGCUGUUCGCCCAUGAAAGCGGUACGCGAGCUGGGUUCAGAACGUCGUGAGACAGUUCGGUCCAUAUCCAGUGUAGGCGUUAGAAUAUUGAGAGGAGCCUUCUUUAGUACGAGAGGACCGAGAAGGACAUACCUCUGGUGUACCAGUUAUCGUGCCAACGGUAAACGCUGGGUAGCUAUGUAUGGAGUGGAUAACCGCUGAAAGCAUCUAAGUGGGAAGCCCACCUCAAGAUAAG
RNAcentral lists this ribosomal RNA (1235 nucleotides) under metagenome. Its description in RNAcentral is "bacterial LSU rRNA". It matches the Rfam family "Bacterial large subunit ribosomal RNA", at positions 1564 to 2808 of the family's 2925-position model. The record is from RNAcentral.